RNAcentral lists this long non-coding RNA (108 nucleotides) under Meleagris gallopavo (turkey). RNAcentral's name for it is "lncRNA (ENSMGAG00000019995.1)". The record is from RNAcentral. Lineage: Eukaryota; Metazoa; Chordata; Aves; Galliformes; Phasianidae.
UCUUCAGCACAAGAAGGUCGAGGACUGGCAGCUCCAGUCCCUACUCUCAUUUAAUAUCUAUAGAAGAAUACUGUAGACUUCGGAAUAUCAUGCUGGCGAGCCUGCAUC